Myotis lucifugus (little brown bat) is the source of this 70-nucleotide non-coding RNA. The record is from Rfam. Lineage: Eukaryota; Metazoa; Chordata; Mammalia; Chiroptera; Vespertilionidae.
GGUCAGUUCUUGGCACCCUGGAAUCAGGAUCCCUCCUCUCUGGUUCCGGGUGCGUCACCCGAGAACCACA